Molecule: unclassified non-coding RNA, 304 nt
Filed under: plant metagenome
Description: partial contains 5.8S ribosomal RNA, internal transcribed spacer 2, and large subunit ribosomal RNA
Rfam family: 5.8S ribosomal RNA (bases 1-105)
Source: RNAcentral
GAAAUGCGAUAAGUAAUGUGAAUUGCAGAAUUCAGUGAAUCAUCGAAUCUUUGAACGCACAUUGCGCCCACCAGUAUUCUGGCGGGCAUGCCUGUUCGAGCGUCAUUUCAACCAUCAAGCCCCCCGGCUUGUGUUGGGGACCUGCGGCUGCCGCAGGCCCUGAAAAGCAGUGGCGGGCUCGCUGUCACACCGAGCGUAGUAGCAUACAUCUCGCUCUGGGCGUGCUGCGGGUUCCGGCCGUUAAACCACCUUCGUAACCCAAGGUUGACCUCGGAUCAGGUAGGAAGACCCGCUGAACUUAAGC